AUAUGAUAUACUUUGUAUAACUUAUUUCUGAAAAUGAAUUGUGAAAUUAAAUUUUUAUAAAAAUAGUUUUACAAUAAUUUUUAUACAUUGAUAUUCUUAAAAAUUAGCAUUAUUAUAUAAAAACGUUUUCUCUCAAAAAUAUUAUUUAAGGUAAAUUUGCAAAGUGAAAAACUAAAUCCACAUUUUACAUCACAUAUUUAAAACCGAAACCACUGUGCGAUGGUCGCAUGACUGAGGCGUCAUUGUUGAGUCGCGUGAUCAACCAGUGUGGCGGACGGGUGAUGUUUCCGCGAUCCAGUGUGGUCCAUCGGAGGGUUGUUCGUUGUGAAUUCUUAAGGGUUGGUUUCAUAAAUUUCCAAAUUCUGUUUCAUUUUAAAUGCGGUACGGAAGAGGUUUGUCGGAAUCUUGAUUAUAAGGUGAUUCCCCGCUUGCACAUAUAUCGAC
Molecule: long non-coding RNA, 444 nt
Filed under: Androctonus crassicauda
Lineage: Eukaryota; Metazoa; Arthropoda; Arachnida; Scorpiones; Buthidae
Source: RNAcentral